UAGUUUCUGCUGUGAGUAGUACAUAGAAGGGGGUAGCUGUGGCUUUCUCUCUUUCUGUGCAGAAUCACUAUAAAGAGAUUUCAUAAGCAUCAUUUUUUAUUCUGGGGUAGCUGGUAAUUGACUGUUCUGGCUCCCCA
Molecule: small nuclear RNA, 137 nt
Organism: Heteronotia binoei (common prickly gecko)
Lineage: Eukaryota; Metazoa; Chordata; Lepidosauria; Squamata; Gekkonidae
Product: U11 spliceosomal RNA
Exons: 1
Source: RefSeq, a predicted model, not a curated record